This 253-nucleotide ribosomal RNA is filed under the name uncultured bacterium. Its description in RNAcentral is "partial 16S ribosomal RNA". It matches the Rfam family "Bacterial small subunit ribosomal RNA", at positions 524 to 776 of the family's 1533-position model. The record is from RNAcentral.
UACGGAGGGGGCAAGCGUUAUUCGGAAUUAUUGGGCGUAAAGGGCGCGUAGGCGGCCUGGUAAGUCAGUGGUGAAAUCCCUCGGCCUAACCGAGGAACUGCCUCUGAAACUGCCAAGCUUGAGGCCGGGAGAGGGUAGUGGAAUUCCCAGUGUAGCGGUGAAAUGCGUAGAUAUUGGGAGGAACACCAGUGGCGAAGGCGACUACCUGGACCGGUUCUGACGCUGAGGCGCGAAAGCGUGGGGAGCAAACAGG